This 509-nucleotide ribosomal RNA is filed under the name uncultured bacterium. Its description in RNAcentral is "partial 16S ribosomal RNA". It matches the Rfam family "Bacterial small subunit ribosomal RNA", at positions 29 to 507 of the family's 1533-position model. The record is from RNAcentral.
ACGAACGCUGGCGGCGUGCUUAACACAUGCAAGUCGAACGAAGAGCGAUGGAAGCUUGCUUCUAUCAAUCUUAGUGGCGAACGGGUGAGUAACGCGUAAUCAACCUGCCCUUCAGAGGGGGACAACAGUUGGAAACGACUGCUAAUACCGCAUACGAUCUAAUCUCGGCAUCGAGGAUAGAUGAAAGGUGGCCUCUACAUGUAAGCUAUCACUGAAGGAGGGGAUUGCGUCUGAUUAGCUAGUUGGAGGGGUAACGGCCCACCAAGGCGAUGACCAGUAGCCGGUCUGAGAGGAUGAACGGCCACAUUGGGACUGAGACACGGCCCAGACUCCUACGGGAGGCAGCAGUGGGGAAUCUUCCGCAAUGGACGAAAGUCUGACGGAGCAACGCCGCGUGAGUGAUGACGGCCUUCGGGUUGUAAAGCUCUGUUAAUCGGGACGAAAGGCCUUCUUGCGAAUAGUGAGAAGGAUUGACGGUACCGGAAUAGAAAGCCACGGCUAACUACGUG